GGUUAAUGCAUUAUUCUUACUAAAUCAAAGUAUUACAUUUCUUUAAAAAAUCUUACUGAGCUCAAUUUAAUUCAACAAUUGAGGAAACAUUUUGAUCUGGCCGGAUCUGUUUUUAAAGUUUAUCUGCUGGUGUCUGUGUCUUUAAAUCAUUUUUAAACGAAUUAUGUCCACCUGAGCGGUUGUUCGGACCUCUGUUUCCUAGCAACAAGGCCAGAUGUCCUGGAUCACUGUGGGAGGCGAGCGCGAAUCUAAGGGGAUGUUUUGUUUCGAUGUUAAUGUUACAUAAGGGCUCUUUACGCGUCAAAGAACUUAAGGUGCCCUCUCAGAAUGGUUGUUUUCUGAGGAACUUACAAGAUGGAAGUUUCUCCAAUACUGUCAACAUGCCAGCAACCCUAAGGGAAAUUAUUUGAGAAUCCUCCUGACCAGACCUUUGCCCCCCAGGUAUUUGUGUUAUUCAGCCAGAACCGUG
This is a long non-coding RNA of Sinocyclocheilus rhinocerous, 469 nucleotides long. RefSeq lists it as uncharacterized. NCBI's taxonomy places the organism in Eukaryota, Metazoa, Chordata, Actinopteri, Cypriniformes, Cyprinidae. The transcript has 3 exons. The record is from RefSeq and is a predicted model, not a curated record.